GUGGGGAAUCUUCCGCAAUGGACGAAAGUCUGACGGAGCAACGCCGCGUGAGUGAUGAAGGUCUUCGGAUUGUAAAGCUCUGUUAAUCGGGACGAAAGAGCCUAGUGUGAAUAAUGCUAGGAAGUGACGGUACCGGAAUAGAAAGCCACGGCUAACUACGUGCCAGCAGCCGCGGUAAUACGUAGGUGGCAAGCGUUGUCCGGCAUUAUUGGGCGUAAAGCGCGCGCAGGCGGAUCUGCCAGUCUGUCUUAAAAGUUCGGGGCUUAACCCCGGGAUGGGAUUGAAACUAUAGAUCUAGAGUAUCGGAGAGGAAAGUGGAAUUCCUAGUGUAGCGGUGAAAUGCGUAGAUAUUAGGAAGAACACCAGUGGCGAAGGCGACUUUCUGGACGAAAACUGACGCUGAGGCGCGAGAGCCAGGGGAGCGAACGGGAUUAGAUACCCUAGUAGUCC
RNAcentral lists this ribosomal RNA (450 nucleotides) under uncultured bacterium. RNAcentral's name for it is "partial 16S ribosomal RNA". It matches the Rfam family "Bacterial small subunit ribosomal RNA", at positions 354 to 796 of the family's 1533-position model. The record is from RNAcentral.